GCGAACGGACGAGAAGCUUGCUUCUCUGAUGUUAGCGGCGGACGGGUGAGUAACACGUGGAUAACCUACCAUAUAAGACUGGGAUAACUUCGGGAAACCGGAGCUAAUACCGGAUAAUAUUUUGAACCGCAUGGUUCAAAAGUAAAAGACGGUCUUGCUGUCACUUAUAGAUGGAUCCGCGCUGCAUUAGCUAGUUGGUAAGGUAACGGCUUACCAAGGCAACGAUGCAUAGCCGACCUGAGAGGGUGAUCGGCCACACUGGAACUGAGACACGGUUCAGACUCCUACGGGAGGCAGCAGUAGGGAAUCUUCCGCAAUGGGCGAAAGCCUGACGGAGCAACGCCGCGUGAGUGAUGAAGGUCUUCGGAUCGUAAAACUCUGUUAUUAGGGAAGAACAUAUGUGUAAGUAACUGUGCACAUCUUGACGGUACCUAAUCAGAAAGCCACGGCUAACUACGUGCCAGCAGCCGCGGUAAUACGUAGGUGGCAAGCGUUAUCCGGAAUUAUUGGGCGUAAAGCGCGCGUAGGCGGUUUUAUAAGUCUGAUGUGAAAGCCCACGGCUCAACCGUGGAGGGUCAUUGGAAACUGGAAAACUUGAGUGCAGAAGAGGAAAGUGGAAUUCCAUGUGUAGCGGUGAAAUGCGCAGAGAUAUGGA
RNAcentral lists this ribosomal RNA (655 nucleotides) under uncultured Staphylococcus sp. RNAcentral's name for it is "bacterial SSU rRNA". It matches the Rfam family "Bacterial small subunit ribosomal RNA", at positions 66 to 702 of the family's 1533-position model. The record is from RNAcentral. Lineage: Bacteria; Bacillati; Bacillota; Bacilli; Caryophanales; Staphylococcaceae.